AUUAAGCCAUGCAUGUGUAAGUAUAAAUAAUUCUACUUUGAAACUGCGAAUGGCUCAUUAUAUCAGUUAUAGUUUAUUAGAAAAAAUGUACUACUUGGAUAACCGUAGUAAUUCUAGGGCUAAUACAUGAAUGAAUCCUCGACUUUGAAGAGGUGUGUUUAUUAGUAUGAAAACCAUAUGCUUCGGCAUGAUAGUGAGUAAUAAUAACCUUUCGUAUCGUAUGUUGACAUAACGAUAGUUCUUUCAAGUUUCUGCCCUAUCAGCUUUCGAUGGUAGUGUAUUGGACUACCAUGGCAGUAACGGGUAACGAAGAAUUUGGGUUCGAUUUCGGAGAGGGAGCCUGAGAGAUGGCUACCACAUCCAAGGAAGGCAGCAGGCGCGUAAAUUACCCAAUCCUGACAGAGGGAGGUAGUGACAAUAAAUCACAAUGCGGGACUAUUUAGUUUUGCAAUUGGAUUGAGAACAAUGUACAAGAGUUAUCGAUAAACAAUUGGAGGGCAAGUCUGGUGCCAGCAGCCGCGGUAAUUCCAGCUCCAAUAGCGUAUAUUAACGUUGUUGCAGUUAAAAA
Molecule: ribosomal RNA, 568 nt
Filed under: Blastocystis sp. subtype 14
Lineage: Eukaryota; Bigyra; Opalinata; Blastocystidae
Description: SSU rRNA
Rfam family: Eukaryotic small subunit ribosomal RNA
Source: RNAcentral